CAAUAGCGUAUAUUAAAGUUGUUGCGGUUAAAAAGCUCGUAGUUGGAUUUCUGCCGAGGACGACCAGUCCGCCCACUGGGUGAGCAUCUGGCUCAGCCUUAGCAUCUUCUUGGAGAACGUAUCUGCACUUCAUUGUGUGGUGCGGUAACCAGGACUUUUACUUUGAGGAAAUUAGAGUGUUUCAAGCAGGCGUGCGCCUUGAAUACAUUAGCAUGGAAUAAUAAGAUAGGACCUUAGUUCUAUUUUGUUGGUUUCUAGAGCUGGGGUAAAGAUUAAUAGGGAUAGUUGGGGGCAUUCGUAUUUAACCGUCAGAGGUGAAAUUCUUGGAUUUGUUAAAGACGGACUACUGCGAAAGCAUUUGCCAAGGAUGUUUUCAUUGA
RNAcentral lists this ribosomal RNA (380 nucleotides) under uncultured eukaryote. RNAcentral's name for it is "partial 18S ribosomal RNA". It matches the Rfam family "Eukaryotic small subunit ribosomal RNA", at positions 592 to 976 of the family's 1831-position model. The record is from RNAcentral.